This 207-nucleotide long non-coding RNA is filed under the name Brassica rapa (field mustard). RNAcentral's name for it is "long non-coding RNA (BRAP_LNC005222)". The record is from RNAcentral. Lineage: Eukaryota; Viridiplantae; Streptophyta; Magnoliopsida; Brassicales; Brassicaceae.
GAAUUUACCAUUUCAAAACAAAAACAAAAAGAAGAACCACAUUGUGAACUUUAUAUAUGUUUUACUCAUAUAUCCCUAUAACAAUAUGUAUCAUCUACUAGUAUAUGUGAUAAAAGAAAUAAAAGUUGUUACAAAGGAAUUAAGUUCGAUUAUGCAUAAAAGUUAUCAAAAAGAAAAAAAAAAUGCAACUACGUUAGUCGAACCUGG